RNAcentral lists this long non-coding RNA (356 nucleotides) under Actinidia chinensis (golden kiwifruit). RNAcentral describes it as "long non-coding RNA (ACHI_LNC004989)". Lineage: Eukaryota; Viridiplantae; Streptophyta; Magnoliopsida; Ericales; Actinidiaceae. The record is from RNAcentral.
CGCCGGCGACGCAUUUCCUGAUCGGGAUACGAACCUCUAGAGAGAGAAGACAGUAGGCUAGAGAGAGAGUGAAGGGGAGAAAAUUAAAAGAGAGUGAGAACUGGAGAAGAUAAAGUUUGAGAGAGAGGAGAGAGAGGAGAGAGAGAGAAAGAAAGAGAGAGAGAGGUCUGAUGAAGGAGAAAAAGGAGGGCACGAGAAUGAGAGAAAAAGGGGGCCAACUGCCAAGAUCGAGAUUUCAAUGGCCUCUCUCGCUCGCUCUUCGUUGGCUGACGUGUACAAGGAAUGUGCUGGCGUAAGCUCCGGUGGUGCCUUUCCUCUCUCCUCAACCACGAUAUUGCUUUGUAUAUAUACACAGA